UCCGCACGCGCGCUACACUGAAUAGAUCAGCGUGUUCUCCCUUUCUGAGAAGAACGGGUAAACCGCUGAACCCUAUUCGUGGUAGGGAUCGGGGCUUGCAAUUAUUCCCCGUGAACCAGGAAUUCCCAGUAGGCGCGAGUCAUAAGCUCGCGUCGAUUACGUCCCUGCCCUUUGUACACACCGCCCGUCGCUAAUACCGAUUGAAUAGUUAAUCCCGCGGA
This 221-nucleotide ribosomal RNA is filed under the name uncultured eukaryote. Its description in RNAcentral is "partial 18S small subunit ribosomal RNA". It matches the Rfam family "Eukaryotic small subunit ribosomal RNA", at positions 1486 to 1714 of the family's 1831-position model. The record is from RNAcentral.